Molecule: ribosomal RNA, 812 nt
Filed under: Escherichia coli
Lineage: Bacteria; Pseudomonadati; Pseudomonadota; Gammaproteobacteria; Enterobacterales; Enterobacteriaceae
Description: partial 23S ribosomal RNA
Rfam family: Bacterial large subunit ribosomal RNA
Source: RNAcentral
CGAAACCGAGUGAUCUACCCUUGGCCAGGUUGAAGGUUGGGUAACACCAACUGGAGGACCGGAUGGGUAAGCGUUGAAAAGCUUUCCAAUGAGCUGAGGGUAGGGGUGAAAGGCUAAUCAAACUCGGAGAUAGCUCGUACUCCCCGAAAUGCAUUUAGGUGCAGCCUCUUUAUAGUAUAUCGUGAGGUAGAGCGACUGAUUGGAUGCGAGGGCUUCACCGCCUAUCAAGUCCAGAUAAACUCCGAAUGCGCGAUAUAUAUUUAAAGGGAGUGAGGGCGCGGGUGCUAAGGUCCGUGUCCGAGAGGAGAAGAAUCCAGACCACCGGCUAAGGCCCCCAAAUGAUCGUUGAGUUGAACUAACGAGGUCGGAUCGCAGAGACAGCUAGGAUGUUGGCUUGGAAGCAGCCAUUCAUUUAAAGAGUGCGUAACAGCUCACUAGUCGAGCGAUCUGGCGUGGAUAAUAAUCGGGCAUAAACGAUCUGCCGAAGCCGUGGAUGUCGUAAGACAUGGUAGGGGAGCAUUCCAUGCGGCGUCGAAGAUGAGGGAUGACCCUUGUUGGAGCGCAUGGAAAAGCAAAUGUAGGUAUGAGUAACGAUAAGGGGGGCGAGAAACCCCCCCGCCGAAAGACCAAGGUUUCCUGAUCAACGCUAAUCGGAUCAGGGUGAGUCGGGACCUAAGGCAAAGCCGAACGGCGCCGCCGAUGGAAGAAUGGGUUAAUAUUCCCAUACUGCCUCAUGGAGUGACGUGGAGACGGAGAAGUGACAGUCCUGCCGGCUGACGGAAUAGCCGGUUGAAGGGUGUAGGAGUUGAUCA